This 415-nucleotide ribosomal RNA is filed under the name uncultured cyanobacterium. RNAcentral's name for it is "bacterial SSU rRNA". It matches the Rfam family "Bacterial small subunit ribosomal RNA", at positions 356 to 788 of the family's 1533-position model. Lineage: Bacteria; Bacillati; Cyanobacteriota. The record is from RNAcentral.
GGGGAAUUUUCCGCAAUGGGCGAAAGCCUGACGGAGCAACGCCGCGUGAGGGAGGAAGGUCUUUGGAUUGUAAACCUCUUUUCUCUAGGAAGAUAAUGACGGUACUAGAGGAAUAAGCAUCGGCUAACUUCGUGCCAGCAGCCGCGGUAAUACGAAGGAUGCAAGCGUUAUCCGGAAUUAUUGGGCGUAAAGCGUCCGUAGGCGGCAUUACAAGUCUGUUGUCAAAGAAUGGGGCUUAACCCCAUAUAGGCAAUGGAAACUGUGAAGCUAGAGUGCGAUAGGGGUAGGGGGAAUUCCCGGUGUAGCGGUGAAAUGCGUAGAUAUCGGGAAGAACACCAGUGACGAAAGUGCCUUACUGGGUCGUAACUGACGCUGAUGGACGAAAGCUAGGGGAGCGAAAGGGAUUAGAUACCCC